RNAcentral lists this ribosomal RNA (85 nucleotides) under Syntrophothermus lipocalidus. Lineage: Bacteria; Bacillati; Bacillota; Clostridia; Eubacteriales; Syntrophomonadaceae. The record is from RNAcentral.
ACACCCGUUCCCAUACCGAACACGGAAGUUAAGCCCUCCAGCGCCGAUGGUACUGCUAACGCGGGAGAGUAGGUCGCUGCCAGGA